CUCGUAGGUGGCCAACUAAGUCAGACGUGAAAUCCCACGGCUUAACCGUGGAACUGCGUCUGAUACUGGAUGGCUUGAGUUUGGGAGAGGGACGCGGAAUUCCAGGUGUAGCGGUGAAAUGCGUAGAUAUCUGGAGGAACACCGGUGGCGAAGGCGGCGUCCUGGACCAACACUGACACUGAGGAGCGAAAGCCAGGGGAGCAAACG
RNAcentral lists this ribosomal RNA (207 nucleotides) under uncultured bacterium. RNAcentral's name for it is "partial 16S ribosomal RNA". It matches the Rfam family "Bacterial small subunit ribosomal RNA", at positions 568 to 774 of the family's 1533-position model. The record is from RNAcentral.